ACGCUCGACACCUACGGGGGCAGCAGUGGGGAAUAUUGCACAAUGGGGGAAACCCUGAUGCAGCGACGCCGCGUGAGCGAAGAAGUAUUUCGGUAUGUAAAGCUCUAUCAGCAGGGAAGAUCAUGACGGUACCUGACUAAGAAGCUCCGGCUAAAUACGUGCCAGCAGCCGCGGUAAUCUGAGCGGGCUGGCAAGGC
This 197-nucleotide ribosomal RNA is filed under the name uncultured bacterium. RNAcentral's name for it is "partial 16S ribosomal RNA". It matches the Rfam family "Bacterial small subunit ribosomal RNA", at positions 328 to 539 of the family's 1533-position model. The record is from RNAcentral.